CAAGUUUUGAAACUCAAAGGAAUUGACGGGGGCCCGCACAAGCGGUGGAUUAUGUGGUUUAAUUCGACGAUACGCGAGGAACCUUACCAAGGCUUAAAUGGGAAUUGAUCGGUUUAGAAAUAGACCUUCCUUCGGGCAAUUUUCAAGGUGCUGCAUGGUUGUCGUCAGCUCGUGCCGUGAGGUGUUAGGUUAAGUCCUGCAACGAGCGCAACCCCUGUCACUAGUUGCCAUCAUCCAGUUGGGGACUCUAGUGAGACUGCCUACGCAAGUAGAGAGGAAGGUGGGGAUGACGUCAAAUCAUCACGGCCCUUACGCCUUGGGCCACACACGUAAUACAAUGGCCGGUACAGAGGGCAGCUACACAGCGAUGUGAUGCAAAUCUCGAAAGCCGGUCUCAGUUCGGAUUGGAGUCUGCAACUCGACUCUAUGAAGCUGGAAUCGCUAGUAAUCGCGCAUCAGCCAUGGCGCGGUGAAUACGUUCCCGGGCCUUGUACACACCGCCCGUCAAGCCAUGGAAGUCUGGGGUACCUGAAGUCGGUGACCGUAAAAGGAGCUGCCUAGGGUAAAACAGGUAACUAGGGCUAAGUCGUAAC
RNAcentral lists this ribosomal RNA (593 nucleotides) under uncultured bacterium. Its description in RNAcentral is "bacterial SSU rRNA". It matches the Rfam family "Bacterial small subunit ribosomal RNA", at positions 889 to 1492 of the family's 1533-position model. The record is from RNAcentral.